AGAGAGAGAGAGAGAGAGAGAGAGAGCCAAUAAACCGCUUUAGACGUUACCGACACUAGAGACAGAUGAGAAGAAACCCCACAAACGCCAGCCGUUUGCUUGGAAUCGGAUCCAGCGGCCGUUGAUGAGAGAGAGAGAGCAGAGCUUCCCACCAAGAAUAAGUGCCUUCCCUUAAUGCUCCUAUCUGCUUCUUUCAGAUAAGCAUUGUCGUAUUCUCCACUCCUACUCCACGCGGCAGAAAUAAACCAUCUUUUGGUUUCUGGGUCUUCUACAAUUUAAAGGGAAUUCAGAUAUGUGAUUAUUUUUUCCGCGAGUUUUACAGUUUUUUUUUUUUCUUGGGUUUUUCAUGUUGUAGUCUUGGUGUGUAGGAAAAGGAAAGAGUGGGAACUGGAGAGGUGUUUUUGAAUCGUACUCGGUUUUUACAGUCUUGUUCUUGUGUAAUAGUGUGGGAUUUUGGGGUGGUCUGAGAUUCUGAGGGCGGAUUUGAGAUGGGUAUUCUGAGUGCGAUUUUGGGUUUUGUGGGUUUUGGAGUUGGAACUUCAACUGGGCUUGUGAUCGGGUAUUACGUCUUCAUCUACUUCCUGCCAACUGAUGUCAAGAAUCCUGCAAUUCGUCCAUUGGUCGAGCAAGAUUCGAAAACUCUGCAGAGGCUGCUUCCGGAGAUACCCAUGUGGGUGAAAAAUCCAGACUACGAUCGUGUUGACUGGCUCAACAAAUUUAUUGAGCUCAUGUGGCCUUACCUGGACAAGGCAAUUUGCAAAACUGCGAGGACCAUAGCAAAACCCAUUAUUGCUGAGCAAAUUCCGAAAUACAAAAUUGACUCCGUCGAGUUUGAAGUGCUUUCCUUGGGCACCCUACCGCCAACUUUUCAAGGAAUUAAAGUGUAUGUUACCGGUGAGAAGGAAAUUGAUAAUGGAGCUACAACUGAAGUGGGCAGGAAAUCCUAACAUCCUUGUUGCAGCUAAAGCAUUUGGUUUGAAAGCCACGGUUCAGGUGGUUGAUUUGCAAGUGUUUGCUUGUCCACGCAUCACCCUGAAGCCUUUGGUUUCAGCCUUUCCUUUGUUUUUCAAAAAUUUUCGUGUCUCUGAUGGAGAAGCCACAUGUUGACUUUGGAUUAAAACUGCUUGGAGCAGAUGCUAUGGCUAUUCCUGGCCUGUAUAGGUUUGUCCAGGAGCUUAUUAAAGAACAAGUGGCAAACAUGUACUUAUGGCCCAAAGCACUAGAAGUACAAAUCAUGGAUCCCACAAUGGCUAUGAGGAAGCCUGUUGGGAUUUUGCAUAUAAAAGUUCUUAAAGCAAUGAAGCUUAAAAAGAAAGAUUUCUUAGGAGGAGCAGAUCCAUAUGUGAAAAUCAAGCUCACUGAGGACAAGCUUCCUUCAAAGAAAACAACUGUGAAACACGGCACUUUGGACCCUGAAUGGAAUGAAGAGUUUAAUUUCGUAAUCAGAGACCCAGAGACUCAAGCAUUAGAGUUGAUGGUUUAUGAUUGGGAAAAGAUUGGCAAGCAUGACAAAAUGGGUAUAAAUGUCAUUCCACUGAAAGAACUUACACCUGAAGAGCCUAAAGUUGUGACUCUUGACAUACUGAAGAGCAUGGACCCCAAUGAUGCUCAAAAUGACAAGUCACGUGGACAGCUUCUUGUGGAAUUGAUCUAUAAACCCUUUAAGGAGGAUGAGAUGCCUAAAGAUGAUGAAGAUCCAAAUGCUGUACAAAGGGCUCCUGAAGGAACACCUGCAGCUGGUGGUGCGCUUGUAGUUACCGUCCAUGAAGCUGAAGAUGUGGAAGGAAAGCACCACACUAACCCACAAGUGCGCAUACUUUUCAGGGGCGAAGAGAAAAGAACCAAGCUUGUCAAGAAAAAUCGGGAUCCACGAUGGGAAGAGGAGUUUCAGUUUAUAUUGGAAGAGCCACCGAAAAAGGAGAGGCUUCAUGCUGAAGUGGUUAGCCACUCCUCAAGGAUGGGGCUGUUGCAUCCCAAGGAAACUCUUGGAUACGUGGACAUAGACUUGGCGGAUGUUGUUAGCAACAGAAGAAUCAAUGAGAAAUACCAUCUGAUAGACUCGAAGAAUGGACGGCUUCAACUCGAGCUGCAAUGGAGAACAGCUUCUUGAGGGGUAUUGCAGUAAAAGAUGUGUGUAGAAAUGGUAAAUGCCCUGUAAAUUUCGUUUCCUUUCGGAUCAUGUCCCGUGCGUUUUCAUAAAUCUGUGUAAAUGCUACUCUCUGAUUUCUCACCCUACCAGACAAUUCAAAGAAUGCCUUUGAACUUCCAAAUCCAGAAUUUGCUAUCGAUGAAUAUAUUUCUUGUUUGAGAUCAA
Malus domestica (apple) is the source of this 2314-nucleotide non-coding RNA. Lineage: Eukaryota; Viridiplantae; Streptophyta; Magnoliopsida; Rosales; Rosaceae. The record is from RefSeq and is a predicted model, not a curated record.